RNA transcript from Mus pahari (shrew mouse), 2792 nucleotides. It is a transcript of the gene named serine/threonine-protein kinase LATS2 pseudogene, with no coding region annotated. The record is from RefSeq and is a predicted model, not a curated record. Lineage: Eukaryota; Metazoa; Chordata; Mammalia; Rodentia; Muridae. The transcript is spliced from 2 exons.
GGCAAAGAUGCCUCCAGGUAUCAGCAAAUGAGAGCCACCCCGAAGUUUGGACCUUAUCAAAAUGCGCUCAGGGAAAUCCGAUAUUCCCUCCUGCCUUUUGCCAACGAGUCAGGCACUUCAGCAGCUGCAGGGGUGAUCCUGCAGAUGCUUCAGGAGUUGGUGAAUGCGGAAUGUGACCAGGAGAUGGCUGGCAGAGCGCUCAAGCAGACGGGCAGUAAGAGUAUUGAGGCCGCCUAGGAGUACAUCAGUAAGAUGGGCUACCUGGACCCCAGGAAUGAGCAGAUUGUGCGAGUCAUCAAGCAGACCUCCCCAGGAAAGGGCCUGGUGCCCGCCCCGGUGACUUGGUGGCCCAGUUUCGAGGGCACAGGGGAAACACUCACAUCUUACCACCAGCUGGGUGGUGCAAACUGCGAGGGCUCCACCACACUGGAGGAGAUGCUGCAGCAAUAUUUAAGACUUCCUCUUCCCCGGAGCCGGCACCCACGGUGCCCCUGCUCACCAACAUCCUCCCAAAGGCUACAGCACCGCAGUGGAGCCAGGUGCGCACUUCCGGGGCACACACUGUGGUCGCGGUCAUCUAUGAUCUGAGUAGCCUGGGUAUGGGGUGCAGCGCAGCCCCUCCUUCCAGAGCAAGACGCCAACAGAUGCCUAUUCCGGCCUGGUCAAGGCCCAGGGUGGCCCUCCCGCCAGCCUCACCUUUCCUGCCCAUGCUGUGCUGUACGCCGCCUCGCACCACAGGCCGGCGGCUACCCCACCUGGGGCCCACCCAUUACAGGUGCUGGGCACCCGGGGUCACACGUUUACUGGCGAAAGCUCUGCACAGGCUGUGCUGGUACCGUCCAGGAACAGCCUCAGUGCUGACUUGUAUGAGCUGGGCUCCGCUGUGCCCUGGUCUGCAGCUCCACUGGCACACCUUGACUCGCAGGGUGUAGAGGCCUCGCGGUCGCAUGUGGCUUUCCGGGCUGGCCCCAGCAGGACCAACUCUUUCAACAACCCACAACCCGAACCUUCACUGCCCGCACCCAACACGGUCACCGCUGUGACCGCUGCACACAUCCUUCACCCCGUGAAGAGCGUGCGUGUACUGCGGCCCGAGCCCCAGACAGCCGUGGGGCUCUCGCACCCUGCCUGGGUGGCUGCGCCCACAGCACCUGCCACCGAGAGCCUGGAGACGAAGGAGGGCAGCGCAGGCCCACACCCGCUGGAUGUGGACUAUGGCGGCUCCGAGUGCGGGUGCCCACCGCCUCCGUACCCAAAGCACUUGCUGCUGCCCAGUAAGUCUGAGCAGUACAGCGUGGACCUGGACAGCCUGUGCACCAGAGUGGAGCAGAGUCUGCGAGGGGGCACCGAGCAAGACAAGAAUGACAAGAGCCACAAAGGUGCGAAGGGAGACAAAGCUGGCAGAGACAAAAAGCAGAUCCAAGAGGUAGAUGUCCCCAUCCGUAUGGAGACUGAGGCUGGCUGGUGUCUCUUGUGUAGCCUGGUAGACCUAGCCUCUUCCUUCUGAAGGGGCCUCCGCUGCUGUGUGUCCUUAUAACGCGCCUCUAGCUUCCCUUGCAUGCAGGCCGGGCUCUGUGAGGCUGAGCAGGAGCAGGUGAGGAAGCUCCUCUACCAGAAGGAGUCUAACUCCAACCGCCUGAAGAGGGCCAAGAUGGACAAGUCCAUGUUUGUGAAAAUCAAGACGCUGGGCAUUGGUGCCUUUGGGGAAGUGUGCCUCGCCUGUAAGGUGGACUCACACUCUGUACGCCAUGAAGACUCUCAGGAAGAAAGAUGUCCUGAACUGGAAUCAAGUGGCCCAUGUCAAGGCUGAGAGGGACAUCCUGGCUGAAACAGACAAUGAGUGGGUGGUCAAACUCUACUACUCCUUCCAGGACAAGGACAGCCUGUACUUUGAUGGACUACAUCCCUGGCGGGGAUAUGAUGAGCCUGCUGAUCCGGAUGGAGGUCUUCCCUGAACACCUGGCCGGCUUCUACAUUGCAGAGCUGACUCUGGCCAUUGAGAGUGUCCACAAGAUGGGCUUUAUCCACCGAGAUAUCAAGCCUGACAAUGUCCGCAUCGACCUGGAUGGUCAGAUUAAGCUGACAGACUUUGGCCUCUGCACUGGAUUCAGGUGGACUCACAACCCCAAGUGCUACCAGAAAGGGAACCACAUCAGACAGGACAGCAUGGAGCCUGGUGACCUCUGGGACGAUGUUUCCAACUGUCGUUGUGGGGACAGGUUAAAGACCCUGGAGCAGAGAGCACAGAAGCAGCACCAGAGGUGCCUGGCACAUUCUCUGGUUGGGACACCAAAUUACAUCGCUCCGGUGGUGCUCCUCCGCAAAGGUGAUCAACUGGGAGAAUACGCUGCACAUCCCCACGCAGGUGAGGCUCAGCACCGAGGCCCGAGACCUCAUCACGAAGCUGUGCUGUGCGGCUGACUGCCGCCUGGGCAGGGACGGGGCAGAUGACCUCAAGGCACACCGUUCUUCAAUGCCAUCGACUUUUCCCGUGACAUCCGAAAGCAGCCCGCGCCCUACGUCCCCACCAUGGACACCUCCAAUUUUGACCCGGUGGAUGAAGAAAGCCCCUGGCAGGAGGCCAGCGGAGAGAGUGCCAAGGCCUGGGACACGCUGGCCUCCCCCAGCAGCAUCCAGAGCACACCUUCUAUGAGUUCUCCUUUCGCAGGUUCUUCGAUGACAAUGGCUAUCCCUUCCGGUGCCCGAAGCCCUCAGAGCCAGCUGAAAGUGCAGACCCAGGGGAUGUGGAGUUAGAAGGUGCUGCGGAGGGCUGCCAGCCAGUGUACGUGUAA